Molecule: long non-coding RNA, 1313 nt
Organism: Xenopus tropicalis (tropical clawed frog)
Lineage: Eukaryota; Metazoa; Chordata; Amphibia; Anura; Pipidae
Exons: 2
Source: RefSeq, a predicted model, not a curated record
ACUCUUGGUGCUGGUAUGGGCAAAAUCAGAAGUAAGAAAUGUGAAAUACGUAGCAUAGGGUACUGCAUUUAGCAGCAGCACACUGAAGUUAUGCCGCAAGUUGAAGUUUUAAAGCAUAUUAAAGAGGAACUAGUUUACAAAUUUUAAUUGCCAGGUCAUAUACAAUGGCAUGUGUUUAUUGCCUAGACAAUGUAUUAGAACUAAUUGUCUUUUAGAAUAACCAACUAACAGAAAGCUAAAUGAAGAGGGACAGAUUUCUCUCUAGGUUUGAUUUUCAUGCUUGUUCAUGUUAAUUCAUGAUGGUGUAAAUUACAUGCCCAGAAUUUGUUUUCCAAAGUAAGCUCUUAACUUUGUUAAAAUUCUGCAUUUUGAAUAUAGCAACCAAUGGCAAACACCUCAUAACACUCUUGCAGACCACUUCUUAACAUGGGAGAGCUAUGUUGAUAGCAGGUCUUUCCAUUUCAGAUGUUAUGCCUUCUACUCAAUAAGGAAAUGUACAAAGAGCAGUUGUUUAAUAUCAUAAACCAAACUGCGCAGGCAGCUUUUGGCAACGAGUCACUAUGCUGUCAUUCCAGAUGCAGUCUCUACAUUUACUUGUGGGAGUGUCGCAAGUUGGUUGUUUAGUCAAAGCUGCUGCACCAGACACAGUAAGAGCUUUAUAUGAGCAAUGUAGCGCUGAGUGGCAUUCUUGUGGAUCAUUGGAACAUCUGCUUUAGUGUUCAUUGUCCAUGAAAGGAAGAUGAGCAGACAAAUGUUUUGCUCUUGCAAAGAGCAAAGUUAUUAACAGAUUCAGUGCUUUUUCACAGAAAAGGAAAAACCUGAGAAAACUCAAACAAUGAAUUCUUCAAGGAGAAUACAUUCUCUACGUGCCCACAGACAACGGAUUCCAGUCACCUAUGUGGACAGCUGGCAAAGUCAAUCUUGCAGUUGUUCCAGUCGAGGCUGCAUUGAUGAACUAGUUGCAUACUUACUAAUUACAGUGAUUAUUUUGCUUGCACUCUGGGGAGCAGUGGCAAGGAAAGACACAUAUGUAUAAUUUUUUUUGGAUUUGGACUUCAAACCCAUGAAUGGAGGACUGUUUGUUCAUGGAUUGAUCCCCCAGUGAGGAACUGUGUUGUUCCAAACUGGCUGAAACAUCAAGUUUAUUUCAGGUAUUGUUGAAGAAGUCUGUGUUUAAAAUAAAGAAAAUGAUUAUGUUCUAUUGUGAACAUACACUGUCGAACAUACCUGAUACAGGUAAUAAUGUUGUAUAUACUGAUAAAACAAAAACAUUUCUCUACUAAAUUUUUGUAUUAAAAUUAAACUAAAACCAA